RNAcentral lists this long non-coding RNA (376 nucleotides) under Vitis vinifera (wine grape). Its description in RNAcentral is "long non-coding RNA (VVIN_LNC002755)". The record is from RNAcentral. Lineage: Eukaryota; Viridiplantae; Streptophyta; Magnoliopsida; Vitales; Vitaceae.
UUGAUAGGCAAAAGAGCAAUAUGGAUAAAAGAGUCAAAAAAAGGCUACACCAAGUACACAGGAAGCAUACAUGUGCACUCCAAGAAAAAAACAAGAAAACCCUCCCCUUAUUGGCAAACCUAAUUGAUAAGAUAAAUAUAGUUUAUUAGUACAAUGCAAAUACUAAUUAACAUUGUGCCAAAAAAGAAAUAACAAACAAGCCCAAGGUGUGAGGCCAGUGAACAUGCCUGCCAAAAGUCUAGGUAAUAAAAAAAAGUAGAUUCGCUUAAGCCUACAACUGCCUGGUUAACCCAUAUGUGUUUCCAAAGCAAAAUGGUUUUAAGUUACCUGAAUCAACAACAUAUUUUAAUGAAUCUUGGCGUCCACUUCCAAAACU